GGAAUAUUGCACAAUGGGCGCAAGCCUGAUGCAGCCAUGCCGCGUGUAUGAAGAAGGCCUUCGGGUUGUAAAGUACUUUCAGCGGGGAUGAAGGUGUUGUGGUUAAUAACCACAGCAAUUGACGUUACCCGCAGAAGAAGCACCGGCUAACUCCGUGCCAGCAGCCGCGGUAAUACGGAGGGCGCAAGCGUUAAUCGGAAUUACUGGGCGUAAAGCGCACGCAGGCGGUCUGUCAAGUCGGAUGUGAAAUCCCCGGGCUCAACCUGGGAACUGCAUUCGAAACUGGCAGGCUAGAGUCUUGUAGAGGGGGGUAGAAUUCCAGGUGUAGCGGUGAAAUGCGUAGAGAUCUGGAGGAAUACCGGUGGCGAAGGCGGCCCCCUGGACAAAGACUGACGCUCAGGUGCGAAAGCGUGGGGAGCAAACAGGA
RNAcentral lists this unclassified non-coding RNA (427 nucleotides) under plant metagenome. Its description in RNAcentral is "partial contains 5.8S ribosomal RNA, internal transcribed spacer 2, and large subunit ribosomal RNA". It matches the Rfam family "Bacterial small subunit ribosomal RNA", at positions 358 to 777 of the family's 1533-position model. The record is from RNAcentral.